Molecule: ribosomal RNA, 351 nt
Filed under: Athanopsis brevirostris
Lineage: Eukaryota; Metazoa; Arthropoda; Malacostraca; Decapoda; Alpheidae
Description: partial small subunit ribosomal RNA
Source: RNAcentral
GGUAUUAAUAGUUACGAGCUUUAAAUCCAAAGAAUUUGGCGGUACUUAAGUCUAGUUAGAGGAACUUGUGCUGUAAACGAUAAUCCGCGAUAAUCUUUCUCUAUUUUGUAAAAUCAGUAUGUAUACCGUCAUUAUUAAGUGGUUUUAAAAAAAAGAACUGUAAUAAAGAAUUUGCUUAAUAUAUUAGAUCAAGGUGCAGCUUAUAGUAGAGUUUGUUCAUGAGUUACAAUUAUUUAUAACAAUAUGGAUAGUUUGAAGGAAUAUUCAUCUUGAAGGUGGAUUUAAUUGUAAAUAAAGUUAUAUUAUUUUUUGUUGAUAAAGCGCUUAAGUAUGCACACAUCGCCCCGCUCU